This 1343-nucleotide ribosomal RNA is filed under the name uncultured bacterium. RNAcentral's name for it is "16S ribosomal RNA". It matches the Rfam family "Bacterial small subunit ribosomal RNA", at positions 28 to 1378 of the family's 1533-position model. The record is from RNAcentral.
GACGAACGCUGGCGGCGUGCUUAACACAUGCAAGUCGAACGGAAAGGCCCUGCUUUUGUGGGGUGCUCGAGUGGCGAACGGGUGAGUAACACGUGAGUAACCUGCCCUUGACUUUGGGAUAACUUCAGGAAACUGGGGCUAAUACCGGAUAGGAGCUCCUGCUGCAUGGUGGGGGUUGGAAAGUUUCGGCGGUUGGGGAUGGACUCGCGGCUUAUCAGCUUGUUGGUGGGGUAGUGGCUUACCAAGGCUUUGACGGGUAGCCGGCCUGAGAGGGUGACCGGCCACAUUGGGACUGAGAUACGGCCCAGACUCCUACGGGAGGCAGCAGUGGGGAAUAUUGCACAAUGGGCGGAAGCCUGAUGCAGCAACGCCGCGUGCGGGAUGACGGCCUUCGGGUUGUAAACCGCUUUCGCCUGUGACGAAGCGUGAGUGACGGUAAUGGGUAAAGAAGCACCGGCUAACUACGUGCCAGCAGCCGCGGUGAUACGUAGGGUGCGAGCGUUGUCCGGAUUUAUUGGGCGUAAAGGGCUCGUAGGUGGUUGAUCGCGUCGGAAGUGUAAUCUUGGGGCUUAACCCUGAGCGUGCUUUCGAUACGGGUUGACUUGAGGAAGGUAGGGGAGAAUGGAAUUCCUGGUGGAGCGGUGGAAUGCGCAGAUAUCAGGAGGAACACCAGUGGCGAAGGCGGUUCUCUGGGCCUUUCCUGACGCUGAGGAGCGAAAGCGUGGGGAGCGAACAGGCUUAGAUACCCUGGUAGUCCACGCUGUAAACGGUGGGUACUAGGUGUGGGGUCCAUUCCACGGGUUCCGUGCCGUAGCUAACGCUUUAAGUACCCCGCCUGGGGAGUACGGCCGCAAGGCUGAAACUCAAAGGAAUUGACGGGGCCCCGCACAAGCGGCGGAGCAUGCGGAUUAAUUCGAUGCAACGCGUAGAACCUUACCUGGGUUUGACAUGGAUCGGGAGUGCUCAGAGAUGGGUGUGCCUCUUUUGGGGUCGGUUCACAGGUGGUGCAUGGCUGUCGUCAGCUCGUGUCGUGAGAUGUUGGGUUAAGUCCCGCAACGAGCGCAACCCUUGUUCACUGUUGCCAGCACGUUAUGGUGGGGACUCAGUGGAGACCGCCGGGGUCAACUCGGAGGAAGGUGGGGAUGACGUCAAGUCAUCAUGCCCCUUAUGUCCAGGGCUUCACGCAUGCUACAAUGGCUGGUACAGAGAGUGGCGAGCCUGUGAGGGUGAGCGAAUCUCGGAAAGCCGGUCUCAGUUCGGAUUGGGGUCUGCAACUCGACCUCAUGAAGUCGGAGUCGCUAGUAAUCGCAGAUCAGCAACGCUGCGGUGAAUACGUUCCCGGG